This is a non-coding RNA of Podarcis lilfordi (Lilford's wall lizard), 67 nucleotides long. NCBI's taxonomy places the organism in Eukaryota, Metazoa, Chordata, Lepidosauria, Squamata, Lacertidae. The record is from the annotation of a GenBank genome assembly.
GACCCAUAGCUCAGUGGUAGAGCAUCUGCCUAGCAUAAUGUUUCAGGUUUGAUCCCUAGCAUCUCCA